Brienomyrus brachyistius is the source of this 712-nucleotide long non-coding RNA. RefSeq lists it as uncharacterized. Lineage: Eukaryota; Metazoa; Chordata; Actinopteri; Osteoglossiformes; Mormyridae. The transcript has 5 exons. The record is from RefSeq and is a predicted model, not a curated record.
UCUCGGCUCGCAGCAUCGGUCCGCGCUGGAAGCUGCCUUUUGCGGGACGCCCUCCAGCGGAAUGGAGUCCGGGGCAGCCUCUUGCCAGCUCAGACCGAGGAUCUCCCAACAGCGUCUGAAUUUGUCUGAAAGCCUUUUCUUCAUGGCACAAUAUGGACAGCUCUACAGUGGUUCAGAUGCCAGGACAUCAAUGACAAAGGCCAUUCCGAAAGCACACGCAGAUUAAAAGUGACUCCGAAGGAUCUGCACUCUCUGUGUUACGGGUCUGGAUGCCAGACGGUGACAUCACUGACAGGCAGCCACCCCGAUGGGCGGUCGCGUAUGUCGUCUGUUGGCCGUGCCAGCCCCACCGUGACGGCAGAGCGUGACAGUGUGAGUAAGUAAUGCACGCCUGUUUCUUACCGGGAGAUGCCAAAGCAGAAAGUGAAAGCAGGCCUGCUCUUACGUACCCCCCCCUGCCAGGCCGGGCCCCCACACCCUGCCUGCUUUUUGCCUCUGACAUCCCAUACAUUUGAACUUUAUGUUAUGUUUAUGGCCUUGUUUAACUUGGCGGCGCGACAGGUUAUUUAUGUUAAUUGCCCAGCGACCCCCCAGUUAGUGCCCGGCUGCUUGUGAGCGGUGGACUGCCCCCCCCUGGAAGUGUAAUUUACAGCCGGAUCGCUGCAGCUACCUUCUGUCCAAUUAGACCAAAGUGCUCCAUUUCAGCUGACUU